Molecule: long non-coding RNA, 174 nt
Organism: Maniola jurtina (meadow brown)
Lineage: Eukaryota; Metazoa; Arthropoda; Insecta; Lepidoptera; Nymphalidae
Exons: 3
Source: RefSeq, a predicted model, not a curated record
ACUAAUACGACAACGUAGGCUUAUGGUAUUUUAGUUGCGACAAUGGCAGUAUCAUCCUCACAGGUUUAUAUAAAAAUCUUUACUUGAAAGGGUCCAGUUUAAGAAAUUAAUUCUACUAUCUACUAAUUUGUGAGAAACUCAUUUCAAACUUAUUGUUUUACUAAUCUUAUUAAA